GCCAGGUAUGGUGGUGCAUGCCUAUAAUCCCAGCAAUUUGGGAGGCUGAGGGAGGAGGAUUACAAGUUCUAGGCUAGCCUCAGCAACUUAGUGAGACACUGUCUCAA
This 107-nucleotide small RNA is filed under the name Marmota monax (woodchuck). The record is from RNAcentral. Lineage: Eukaryota; Metazoa; Chordata; Mammalia; Rodentia; Sciuridae.